Molecule: non-coding RNA, 108 nt
Organism: Acanthosepion pharaonis
Lineage: Eukaryota; Metazoa; Mollusca; Cephalopoda; Sepiida; Sepiidae
Source: the annotation of a GenBank genome assembly
ACGGAUAUAUCACGUUGAAACACCGGUUCCCCUAUAAUAGCCGAAGUUAAGCAACGUCGAGCCUGGUCAGUACCUAGAUUGGUAACCGUUUGGGAAUACCAGGUGCUA